Long non-coding RNA from Cyprinus carpio carpio, 3723 nucleotides. The record is from Ensembl. NCBI's taxonomy places the organism in Eukaryota, Metazoa, Chordata, Actinopteri, Cypriniformes, Cyprinidae.
GCUCGUCGCUUCCGUGACGUCUUUGUCCACGUGAGCUUCAUUCAGCUGAGCGCUGCAAGGAUGAAUGGCUGGGGUUUGUUUAAACGAUCUUAUGUUUAAUAUGUUUUCUGCUCACAAAUGUUGUAAGUGUCUUGUAUGUGUAACUCCUGUUUGUUGCUCCCUGGUGUUCUGAGUCGCGUGCAUGCAGUGAAAGCGCACAUCCAUCCGGAUGAAGCUGCACAAACACAUCUGAUGAGACAUAAACGCUCAUUUAACGCAGUGAUCAUUUUUUUCCCGAGCCAUUCAGUGCGGUUUAUAUAACCAUGCCUGGGUUCGGCGUCAUGAAACCAUCACUUGUUCGUGAAAUCACGCCAUAUAUUUGUGUAGCAGAGUGAAGUCCUGGAAUGCUCGAGUGCGGGGGUGUCUGGGGUGGAAGAUGGAAACGUUGGAAAAAUGGAGCAGAGACAUCAUGGCACCUCAUCAGCUGGAUAAGAAAGCGCAGUCCAAACAAAAUGGCAUGAUUGCAAAGAAUCUGCUCAACUCUCUCAAGAUUCGCAAUCAUUUGCAGCUCCAGCCAAUUUCUCGUUCAGCAUGUGCCACUGGCUCUUGUCCAGAUCUGAUGAGUAGGAACGAGCAGCCUGACUCCCGGCCGCUUGCCGUGGCCCUGACGCCCCAGCUACCCCCCAGGACCCAUCGGCCCCUGUGUCUCUCAGUGUCCUCUGACAGCAAUGGACGCUUCAAAGCUCUGGAGACCCAGGAAUGGAAGAACAACCUCAAAGCUCAGAUGGAGCAGGCCCAUAGUGCUGGAGCAGCCAGCAGCACAGGUUCCCUGGAAAGAGCAUCUCUCUUUUGCGCUUCUGGCUCCACCACCACCUCCAGCUCUGGCCUCUCCAGUCCGGUGGAGCACCUCACCAAGAGCAAGUCCUCUAGUCGCUUUUCACUCUUCUCCCCACCUUGGAACAGCAGCUCUGAGUCUGACUCCAAUCCACCUUCCCGCUCCGGAUCUAAGAAAAUGCGCAACUACAGUCGCAGAACUGGUCCUGGCAGUGCCAAAACAGGCCCAGAGACUCCAGAACCCAAGCAGAGCGUCCCUGAGCACUUCCAGUACUCAGAACCGGUCAUAUCGAAGGUAACAGACUACAUUUAUGUGGGAAACCUGAACGCGGCUUAUAGCGGACGCACGUUGUGCCGCAAUAAUAUCGACAGUAUUAUCGACAUGAGCAGCCUGCCCGGGGAGACUUGUUUGAGAGUCAUUCCUUGCACUUGUUCAAGGGGUGUCAAGCAUAGUUGGUCUCGGCUCAAAGUGGACAUAAGCGACCUUCCGGACACAGUCCAAGAAGGGCUGGCACUCAAGCAUCGCUGCUUCGAUGACAUCAAUGAGUGUAUUGAUGCCUCCACGGAGAAGAGGAAGCGAGUGCUGGUGCAUUGUCGUGAUGGUUUUUCCCUCGCACCCACUUGCAUUAUUCAGUACCUCAUGGUCAAACAAAAUAUGAGGCUUAUUGCCGCCUACGAGCUGCUCAGAGCCAAACACCCGGUCAACAUUCGUGAAUCCCAUCAGAACGUUCUGGUAAGUCUCGAAAGAGCUCUGAGACCGGGUGGGAACACGGACCCUGAGUGCUUUAAACAGGCAAUCUCUCGAAAAGUGGCUUGGACCUGAUAGCGAACCUUGAGGAACCUCACUUUUAUUUGAGCGUUUUGUAGUUUGUACAUUUUUUUUUUUUUUUUAUAUUAUUUCCUUUGUUAACAGUGAAAGGCAGUUUUUUUUGUGUUUUAACUGAGCUGGAUGUCAUGGUGUGAGUACUAACUGUGAAAAUUUACUUUAAGUUGUUCACUGGCCAUUUUAGCAAAACAAACCCUAAGAAUUUGAGUCAUUCGUUUUGCUUCUGGCUAAACAAAACAAGAACAAACAUGCUUUGUACAGCUGCUAAACAAUGAGUUUUGUCUGGGAAUAUAUCUCCUGUUUUUUCUUCUUCACGUGGGUACAUAGCCAUGCUGUGCAGGUUUAUGCUGAGGAAGAAGUUAGUGGGAGCUCUCAGGAGAUGAAACAAUGUCAUAUAUGGCUGCAAACACCACUACUGAGGCUGAAACGUCAAACUGGAGUACUAUAGCAACUAAACAUCUCAAACACUCUGAGGACAAAUUGAGGACUAAACAUGAUUAAUCACUGAAUCUGGCAGUACAUAGCACAACCUUUGUUGGCCUCCUUAUUCAUUUGACAGUUGUUUGAUAUUUCUCUGUGUUUAACCAGGGUUUGAAAGAUGCACAGUAAGAGUAGUCCUCUAUGAGGAGACAUUUCAUUUACUAGGUUAAGUGUCUUUUAUUAAAUGUGUAAUAUUCAACAUGUUUGAUCAAAUAAUUCAGUGCUUGGAAACAAUGUGAAUUUUGUGAUCUUGUAAAGCAUUGAAAUUGGCCCACUUUAUAACUUUUAUGGAGUGUUGGUAUUUGGAAAAUGAAUUAAACAGAGUUGUGGAGCAAUGCUCAAUUGCAAAGGCUUGAUAUUGCACUAACCACAAGGAAAUGCACAAGUUUUGCUGAAACGUGGCUUAGUUUGAUUUAAUGUUGCGCAGUGAAUAUAGAUCAAAAUAUUUUUAUUACGAUAAUGUUUAUGCUUAUCUAUUAUGAUUGUUGUUCCAUGGUUUCUAUUGUAUUUUGAUUUAGCCAUUUAGAAAAAUGUAACAACCCUGACAGCAAAUGUAUGUCACUGAGACAUCUUGAAUGCGUGCAUUUUCAUUUAAGAGCAUUAGCUAGUUUACAGUAUGUACACCUAGUUUGUAAUAAAAGUGACCAAUGCAACAAAGAUAGAUAGCUGUCAUUAUAAUCAAUGGAUAUAUUGUUGAUUAUAAUGUGAUCAAUCUAGUUUUGUCACUUUGCAACACGUUGUUUGCUUUUAGUGUAGAUUGGAAUGUUUUCUGCAACAUUUAUGUUUUCAAGUUUAUAGUAAUCUGCUGUUGUUCUGACGUCCGCACACAAAUAUAAUGUGUCUUGGUGACGUACAUGUGCUUAAGGGGAAAUAUAUUUAACAUGGCUUAUACUUAUCAGCAGUGAUUCUUCUGUUUUGAUAUUUAGUGCUCAGUUUGGUGAAGAAAGACCCUCCUAAGUUUUGGUGCCUUUCGUUUGAACUCGUCCAGUGUGAUUAUUGUGACAUUCACACGCGCACACUGUAUGCACUCAUCAGGUAUAGACAAAAUGUCGUCCUUAUGCUUUGACAUGUUCAGGAAAUGCUCCAUGUUGGUGUAAUUUUGUGAUGUAUGGCAGAGAUCAGUUUCAUCUGAGGUUUCAUAGCAGUGCUCACAGUGAACAGUGCCUGUAUUUCAAUUAGUGUGGUGGUGACGUCAAUCAGUGUGAUCAUUACCUUCUUCUACGGGCCUGCAAUUAGCUUCUGACAUUAGGAAAGCUGUAUUUAGAUUCAAAUAGAACAUUUAUUGUUGGUUUAUUCUUAUUCAUUAGCCUAUUUAAAUCUAUAUUUUUGGAUGGUUGAUCUUGCCCUGUAAAGGUCUAACAACAUGAACUCUCAGGUUAAAUUUAUUGGCCUAGAAAACAUUCUCAAUGCGUUAGAAACCAGAAUAAUGUGAGGCAAUGUAUUUUCUGUAUAACGUUUUUGCAGAAACUGCAUUUGUACAUGUUGAUAUUAAAGAGAAUCUGAUGCACUGACUUUCUUGUCAUGUAUGAUUUGUUCCAAUAGCAAAUGUGCUUUGUGAAUCUUGGAAAAAAUAUUUUAGCAAUUUUAGCAAGAGGCUACGUAAG